GGGCCAUAGCUUAAUGGUAGAGUAUCUGUUUGGAAUGCAGGCGGUCCGGGUUCAAUUCCCGGCAACUUCA
Non-coding RNA from Podarcis lilfordi (Lilford's wall lizard), 70 nucleotides. NCBI's taxonomy places the organism in Eukaryota, Metazoa, Chordata, Lepidosauria, Squamata, Lacertidae. The record is from the annotation of a GenBank genome assembly.